ACGCUGGCGGCGUGGAUAAGACAUGCAAGUCGAACGCUGAUUGCGGAGUAGCAAUAUUCUGCAAUCGGAGUGGCGCACUGGUGCGUAACACGUGGGUAAUUUGCCGCGAAGUUCGGGACAACUCCGAGAAAUCGGAGCUAAUACCGGAUGUGAUUGCCUGGGGGCAUCCCUGGGCGGUUAAAGUUGGGGACCGCAAGGCCUGACGCUUCACGAUAAGCCCGCGGCCUAUCAGCUAGUUGGUGAGGUAACGGCCCACCAAGGCUAAGACGGGUAGCUGGUCUGAGAGGACGACCAGCCACACUGGAACUGAGACACGGUCCAGACACCUACGGGUGGCAGCAGUCGAGUAAUUUUUCACAAUGGGCGAAAGCCUGAUGGAGCGACGCCGCGUGGGGGAUGAAUGGCUUCGGCCCGUAAACCCCUGUCAUUCGCGAGCAAUGCCUUCCCGAUAAUACCGGGACGGUUGAUCGUAGCGAAAGAGGAAGGGACGGCUAACUCUGUG
Molecule: ribosomal RNA, 502 nt
Filed under: uncultured bacterium
Lineage: Bacteria
Description: bacterial SSU rRNA
Rfam family: Bacterial small subunit ribosomal RNA
Source: RNAcentral